This is a non-coding RNA of Trichonephila clavipes, 70 nucleotides long. Lineage: Eukaryota; Metazoa; Arthropoda; Arachnida; Araneae; Nephilidae. The record is from the annotation of a GenBank genome assembly.
GUCCCAGUAGCGCAGAUAGCGAUUUGGACUUCUAAUCCGAAGGUCGUGGGUUCGAAUCCCACCUGGAAUG